This 484-nucleotide ribosomal RNA is filed under the name uncultured bacterium. RNAcentral describes it as "partial 16S ribosomal RNA". It matches the Rfam family "Bacterial small subunit ribosomal RNA", at positions 29 to 507 of the family's 1533-position model. The record is from RNAcentral.
AUUGAACGCUGGCGGCAUGCUUUACACAUGCAAGUCGAACGGCAGCGCGGGCUUCGGCCUGGCGGCGAGUGGCGAACGGGUGAGUAAUACAUCGGAACGUGCCCAGUAGAGGGGGAUAGCUCGGCGAAAGCCGGAUUAAUACUGCAUACGACCUGCGGGUGAAAGCGGGGGAUCUUCGGAACUCGCGCUAUUGGAGCGGCCGAUGGCAGAUUAGCUAGUUGGUGGGGUAAAGGCCUACCAAGGCGACGAUCUGUAGCUGGUCUGAGAGGACGACCAGCCACACUGGGACUGAGACACGGCCCAGACUCCUACGGGAGGCAGCAGUGGGGAAUUUUGGACAAUGGGCGAAAGCCUGAUCCAGCAAUGCCGCGUGUGUGAUGAAGGCCUUCGGGUUGUAAAGCACUUUUGGCGGGAACGAAAAGGACUGUGCCAAUACCACGGUUCGAUGACGGUACCCGCAGAAUAAGCACCGGCUAACUACGUG